Molecule: long non-coding RNA, 440 nt
Organism: Xiphophorus hellerii (green swordtail)
Lineage: Eukaryota; Metazoa; Chordata; Actinopteri; Cyprinodontiformes; Poeciliidae
Exons: 2
Source: RefSeq, a predicted model, not a curated record
UGCAGCUCUUUGUCUUCUGACUGAGAAAACAAACUCAUUUCUGUUGGUUUGUCUGUAUGGUGGGAUAAAAAAAAACAUAUUUCAAAAGAAUCUCACAUUUCAAAACCAAAGAGUUCUGAUGAGGAAAGCUCUGGGUUUAUAGGAAACCCUGUUAGAAAACGUGUGUGUGUGUGUGUGUUUCUGUUCACGUCCUGGGGAUUUAUCUGGUAAAUCCUGUAAACUUCAACACACUAAUAAUAAUUUAGACUUUAUUGGGUCUAAAAGAGGCAGUUUAUGCACCAGCUAAGCGUCCUGAUCCAUCAGAAAUAUCUUACAGUAAUAAUGAUACAUUUUAUUAUUAUAACACUUUUCUAAACACUUUAGAGGAAUCAAGUAAAUUUACAAAUGCAACGCCAAACCAUAAAAAGGAGAACACGUAAAUACUAGAAAAAUCAGAAGUA